Molecule: transfer RNA, 68 nt
Filed under: Caudoviricetes sp.
Lineage: Duplodnaviria; Heunggongvirae; Uroviricota; Caudoviricetes
Description: tRNA-Asn
Rfam family: tRNA
About the family: Transfer RNA (tRNA) molecules are approximately 80 nucleotides in length. Their secondary structure includes four short double-helical elements and three loops (D, anti-codon, and T loops).
Source: RNAcentral
UAGCUCAGUGGCAGAGCAGGCGGCUGUUAACCGCCCGGUCGUAGGUUCGAGCCCUACCGUGCCAGCCA